RNAcentral lists this ribosomal RNA (253 nucleotides) under uncultured bacterium. RNAcentral describes it as "partial 16S ribosomal RNA". It matches the Rfam family "Bacterial small subunit ribosomal RNA", at positions 524 to 776 of the family's 1533-position model. The record is from RNAcentral.
UACGAAGGGGGCUAGCGUUGCUCGGAAUUACUGGGCGUAAAGGGCGCGUAGGCGGCACUGUUAGUCAGGCGUGAAAGUCCUGGGCUCAACCUGGGAACUGCGCUUGAUACGGCAGAGCUAGAGGAUGGAAGAGGCUCGCGGAAUUCCCAGUGUAGAGGUAAAAUUCGUAGAUAUUCGGAAGAACAUCAGUGGCGAAGGCGACCUUCUGGACGGAUACUGACGCUGAGACGCGAAAGCGUGGGUAGCAAACAGG